Molecule: ribosomal RNA, 498 nt
Filed under: uncultured bacterium
Lineage: Bacteria
Description: partial 16S ribosomal RNA
Rfam family: Bacterial small subunit ribosomal RNA
Source: RNAcentral
GACGAACGCUGGCGGCGUGCCUAAUACAUGCCAGUCGAGCGGACGAAUCGAAAGCUUGCUUUUGAUUCGUUAGCGGCGGACGGGUGAGUAACACGUGGGCAACCUGCCCUGUAGACGGGGAUAACACCGAGAAAUCGGUGCUAAUACCGGAUAACACGAAAUGUCGCAUGACGUUUCGUUGAAAGACGGCGCAAGCUGCCGCUACAGGAUGGGCCCGCGGCGCAUUAGCUAGUUGGUGAGGUAACGGCUCACCAAGGCGACGAUACGUAGCCGACCUGAGAGGGUGAUCGGCCACACUGGGACUGAGACACGGCCCAGACUCCUACGGGAGGCAGCAGUAGGGAAUCUUCCGCAAUGGACGAAAGUCUGACGGAGCAACGCCGCGUGAGCGAAGAAGGCCUUCGGGUCGUAAAGCUCUGUUGUUAGGGAAGAACAAGUAACGCAGUAACUGGCGUUACCGUGACGGUACCUAACGAGAAAGCCACGGCUAACUACGUG